This 82-nucleotide transfer RNA is filed under the name Micromonospora sp. MW-13. Its description in RNAcentral is "tRNA-Tyr". Lineage: Bacteria; Bacillati; Actinomycetota; Actinomycetes; Micromonosporales; Micromonosporaceae. The record is from RNAcentral.
GGCGCCGUUCGGCCCGAUCAGGCCGAGGAUCUCCCCCUUGUAGAGGGUGAAGUCCACGUCGUUCAGCGCCACGACGCCGCCG